This is a long non-coding RNA of Vicia villosa (hairy vetch), 1295 nucleotides long. RefSeq lists it as uncharacterized. NCBI's taxonomy places the organism in Eukaryota, Viridiplantae, Streptophyta, Magnoliopsida, Fabales, Fabaceae. The transcript is spliced from 3 exons. The record is from RefSeq and is a predicted model, not a curated record.
UGAGUCGCUUUAGUUUGUGUUUUGUAUUGAAAAUAAUCUUAAUCUGUUGUUUUCUUCAUGAAGAUGAUUUUGUCUGUGUCUUUUAUGGAUUAUUAUGGCUAUAGUCCUACCGUUUGGAUAUUCUUAUCUAGAUUUUGUACGAAGUUGAUUGGUCAGUUGGCAUACUUCAGUUUUUGUUUUGGUGCAAAGCCAUCCUGAUCUGUUAAUUCACCUAUCUUCAAUCAAUCAUAUCAACAAUAUCAGUUUUCAUAUCUUUCAAUACAGUAAGAUAAAUUUUAUUUAUAUUUAAUGAGCAGUGUGAUACUAAUGGUCUAAAAUUUCAAUUUUCACAUGUAGAGCUGGGUAACUACCUGUAUGGAAAGCUUCUUUCAGUCCCAAAUAUUCGCAUCUAUGGGCCAGCCCCUUCAAAAGAAGUCAAAAGAGCUUCUCUUUGUUCUUUCAAUAUUGAGAAUUUGCACCCUACUAAUCUUGCAACGUUUCUAGACCAACAGGUUUAUGAGAGGGUAACUUCCAUCAUUUCUAUGGAAAGAGAGAAUUUAAAUUUGACAAGACCACUAGAAUGAUCAUGGAAGAGAUAAUGAGCAAAUUUCGGUUUACUUUGUCUACAUGUAAAUUACUCCAGUUUUGUUGCCUGUUACGUGAUGCAAUGUAUCACUACUAGAAAUUUGGCCUACGGCCACGCUAAAAUUGUCCACAGCUCAGAAACUGUGGCCACUUAUAUGAUUUAGCCAUGAUUAUCAAAGCGUAGAUGUAUGUUAUAGAAAUAUUGAAUCCGGAGUGUAAAACUGUGGCCUGUAUAGCGGUAGAUAUUUUAAACCGCAACUAAGAAACCGAGGCCUAUAAUUUUCAGUUCAAACUGUGGCCAAAACCCAAAAAAAAAACCCUCCAAAAAUUCCCUCCUUUUUUUUUUAGUUUCCCUCUAUCUUUUAAUAUUUUCUUUUCUAUUUUUUUAAUUAAAAAAAAGAAAAAAAAUGAAAGAAUAACAAAAACGAGAUUGCAGAGCCAUAUGAACAAAACACUAUCUGAAAACUUCAUCUCCCAAAACUAUCUGAAAACUCCAUCUCAGCUUCGCCGCUCCGCCGCUCCGCCGCUCCGCCGCUGCUGCCACCUCCAUCGCCUACAGUUGAGGUACCAAAGCUUCUGGAGGCUUCCUCUAUUCAUCUGCGUACGAUUGUUUUGUAGUUGAGGUACGAUUCUCUUCUCUCUUCGUGUUCCUCAUCUUCCCUCGUCUCCUCUGAUUUGUUUUGACCUAAUAUAUAUUUUGUUUUGCAUGUGAGGUACCAAAGCUUCUGGAC